This 497-nucleotide ribosomal RNA is filed under the name uncultured bacterium. RNAcentral's name for it is "partial 16S ribosomal RNA". It matches the Rfam family "Bacterial small subunit ribosomal RNA", at positions 28 to 507 of the family's 1533-position model. The record is from RNAcentral.
GAUGAACGCUGGCGGCGUGCCUAAUACAUGCAAGUCGAGCGAACGGUCGAGAAGCUUGCUUCUCUGAUGUUAGCGGCGGACGGGUGAGUAACACGUGGAUAACCUCCCUAUAAGACUGGGAUAACUUCGGGAAUCCGGAGUUAAUACCGGAUAUUAUUUUGAACAGCAUGGUUCAAAAGUGAGAGACGGUCUUGCUGUCACUUAUAGAUGGAUCUGCGCUGCAUUAGAUAGUUGGUAAGGUAACGGCUUACGAAGGCAACGAUGCAUAGCCGACCUGAGAGGGAGAUUGGCCACACUGGAACUGAGACACGGCCCAGACACCUACGGGAGGCAGCGGUAGGGAAUCUUCCGCAAGGGACGAAAGCCUGACAGAGCAACGCCGCGUAAGUGAUGAAGGACUUCGGAUCGUAGAACGCUGUAAUAAGGGAAGAACAUAUGUGUAAGUAACUGUGCACAACUUGACGGUACCUAAUCAGAAAGCCACGGCUAACUACGUG